CUCCCCACCCCCGCACAGAUGCUCACAUACAGUCAAGUCAACCCAGUUGGUAUUGACACCCAAGCCCUCCGAGUUCAAAGCAAGAGCCACCUCAGAGUUCCCACCAUCUAAAGAGGACCUUGGCUUUUUCCUUUGAAGUGUUUCCUUUGAAGGUCAAGGUAAAGGGGCCAUGUUGACUCAAGAAAUUGCUAAUCUAUAGAAAGAUGUGGCCUCUGCUCCAUCACACAUUUGUAAUGUUCACAUGAGGUUAACAAAACAAAUGGUUUUGACUGAAAUGCGUGAGCUUGGACCAGCCUUUCUUCUCAAACUGUCCCCAUCAUAGGAAUGUUUUAUCAGGAUAAGGUGAGAACCAGGAGAACGAAGAAUGCACCAGGAUCUCAACGUGAACAAGACACUCCUGUUCCAGUGAUCAGCCAUCUGCCAUCAGCCAACACCUCAGCUUGUACUAUGCAAGUAGCUCACCCUGGGAAGUUGAAAGCAGAUCCCAGAAAAAACUAGACAGUAGGCAGUGGAGUAGGUUUUGGGUGAAGAUCUCCUGGCCUGCUGCCUAUGAUAUAUCAUUACUGUUGUUACGAAAGAGCAAAAAUAUGCUUUGACUAUUUCCUUCAACCAUCAAACCUUCAGGGCAGGAGGAAAGACCCGGAUGAACUGCUCAGCAGAGAAAGGUAGAAUGUCCUGGAAAUGCAUUCCCAGGCCAAAGGAGACCCAGCAAAAAUAAAGCAGCCAAUUUCUCCCUCACAUCCCCUCCCCCAAACCUGCAAUCAGCAAUAAUUUUAGAGAA
This is a long non-coding RNA of Bos taurus (domestic cattle), 781 nucleotides long. The record is from Ensembl. Lineage: Eukaryota; Metazoa; Chordata; Mammalia; Artiodactyla; Bovidae.